CCGAGAAUCUUCCGCAAUGGGCGAAAGCCUGACGGAGCGACACCGCGUGUAGGAUGAAGGUCUUCGGAUUGUAAACUACUGUCACUUGGGAAGAGAUUUGCUGCAACUAAUAAUUGUUGCAAUUGACUGUACCAAGAGAGGAAGCCACGGCUAACUCUGUGCCAGCAGCCGCGGUAAUACAGAGGUGGCGAGCGUUGUUCGGAUUGAUUGGGUGUAAAGGGUGCGUAGGCGGUUUGGAAAGUUGGAUGUGAAAUCCUAUGGCUUAACCAUAGAACUGCAUUCAAAACUUCUAAACUAGAGUGCGAGAGAGGUGAAGGGAAUUCCCGGUGUAAGGGUGAAAUCUGUAGAGAUCGGGAGGAACACCAGUAGCGAAGGCGCUUCACUGGCUCGUAACUGACGC
RNAcentral lists this ribosomal RNA (400 nucleotides) under uncultured bacterium. RNAcentral describes it as "bacterial SSU rRNA". It matches the Rfam family "Bacterial small subunit ribosomal RNA", at positions 355 to 746 of the family's 1533-position model. The record is from RNAcentral.